Agelaius phoeniceus (red-winged blackbird) is the source of this 503-nucleotide non-coding RNA. Lineage: Eukaryota; Metazoa; Chordata; Aves; Passeriformes; Icteridae. The record is from RefSeq and is a predicted model, not a curated record.
UCCUCCUUUCUCUCCUGCCUCUCUUUGCCUGCUCUGUUUCUCUCUCAGUGUCUCCCUUGAGCCAGGGCAGCUGCCACCAAAGACCCUGCCCUGAUUUAAUUCCCAGUGCAGGAGCUACAACAACCUUGGAUGAAGUUCUGAAGGCUGGCAGUGAAAUGUCACUACAGCCUGAGCCAUCCAGGACAGGUGGAAAGAAGGCGAGAACAAAAACUGGUUCCUAGGGGAGGGGGCGUGGCAUGACAGCACCUGACCCUCCAAUCAAGCUGCAGGAAAGCAGACUCCACCAAUAAACAGCAAAGAAGGGUUGACUGACAGACUGUGGGCAGGGCCAGGGUUGGCUGAUGCAAUCCCGGGGUAUCAAAGGCGAAGCGUCCAUCUUGAGGACGAGCCAGGCACGUGGCAGGCAGCCAUGAGGGGAGCUCCCAGGCCUGUUCUUCCUUAUUUAGUCCUUUUCUUGUCAUUUUUGUUAAGGUUGAAUAAACCUUUUAAAAUUUUGAAAGUCA